AUUGAACGCUGGCGGCAUGCUUUACACAUGCAAGUCGAACGGCAGCACGGACUUCGGUCUGGUGGCGAGUGGCGAACGGGUGAGUAAUGUAUCGGAACGUGCCCAGUCGUGGGGGAUAACGUAGUGAAAAUUACGCUAAUACCGCAUACGAUCUAUGGAUGAAAGCGGGGGAUCGCAAGACCUCGCGCGAUUGGAGCGGCCGAUAUCAGAUUAGGUAGUUGGUGGGGUAAAGGCCCGCCAAGCCAACGAUCUGUAGCUGGUCUGAGAGGACGACCGACCACACGGGAGCUGAGACACGGUCCAGAAUCCUACGGGAGGCAGCAGUGGGGAAUUUUGGAAAAUGGGCGAAAGCCUGGUCCAGCCAUUCCGCGUGCAGGAUGAAGGCCCUCGGGUUGUAAACUGCUUUUGUACAGAACGAAAAGGUUUCUACUAAUACUAGGAGCUCAUGACGGUACUGUAAGAAUAAGCACCGGCUAACUACGUGCCAGCCGCCGCGGUAA
RNAcentral lists this ribosomal RNA (500 nucleotides) under uncultured bacterium. RNAcentral describes it as "partial 16S ribosomal RNA". It matches the Rfam family "Bacterial small subunit ribosomal RNA", at positions 30 to 523 of the family's 1533-position model. The record is from RNAcentral.